GACGAACGCUGGCGGCGUGCUUAACACAUGCAAGUCGAACGGAAAGGCCCUGCUUUUGUGGGGUGCUCGAGUGGCGAACGGGUGAGUAACAAGUGAGUAACCUGCCCUUGACUUUGGGAUAACUUCAGGAAACUGGGGCUAAUACCGGAUAGGAGCUCCUGCUGCAUGGUGGGGGUUGGAAAGUUUCGGCGGUUGGGGAUGAACUCGCGGCUUAUCAGCUUGUUGGUGGGGUAGUGGCUUACCAAGGCUUUGACGGGUAGCCGGCCUGAGAGGGUGACCGGCCACAUUGGGACUGAGAUACGGCCCAGACUCCUACGGGAGGCAGCAGUGGGGAAUAUUGCACAAUGGGCGGAAGCCUGAUGCAGCAACGCCGCGUGCGGGAUGACGGCAUUCGGGUUGUAAACCGCUUUCGCCUGUGACGAAGCGUGAGUGACGGUAAUGGGUAAAGAAGCACCGGCUAACUACGU
Molecule: ribosomal RNA, 467 nt
Filed under: uncultured bacterium
Lineage: Bacteria
Description: partial 16S ribosomal RNA
Rfam family: Bacterial small subunit ribosomal RNA
Source: RNAcentral